RNAcentral lists this ribosomal RNA (402 nucleotides) under uncultured bacterium. RNAcentral's name for it is "bacterial SSU rRNA". It matches the Rfam family "Bacterial small subunit ribosomal RNA", at positions 355 to 773 of the family's 1533-position model. The record is from RNAcentral.
UAGGGAAUAUUGCAAAAUGGGCGAAAGCCCGAUGCAGCAACGCCGCAUGGGCGAUGAAGGCCUUCGGGUCGUAAAGCCCUUUUUGAGGGGAUGAGGAAGGACAGUACCCUCAGAAUAAGCCUCGGCUAACUACGUGCCAGCAGCCGCGGUAAAACGUAGGAGGCGAGCGUUAUCCGGAUUUACUGGGCGUAAAGCGCGUGCAGGCGGAUUGGAGAGUUGGAUGUGAAAGCUCCCGGCUUAACUGGGAGAGGUCGUUCAAUACUUCCAGUCUUGAGUGCAGUAGANGGAAGUGGAAUUCCGGGUGUAGUGGUGAAAUGCGUAGAUAUCCGGAGGAACACCAGUGGCGAAAGCGGCUUCCUGGACUGUAACUGACGCUCAGACGCGAAAGCUAGGGUAGCAAAC